Molecule: microRNA precursor, 145 nt
Organism: Equus caballus (horse)
Lineage: Eukaryota; Metazoa; Chordata; Mammalia; Perissodactyla; Equidae
Source: Ensembl
UUGGCCUCUUCUCCACCUUGAGACAUUUGUGUGCAGGGCCCUGCCCAGAAUGGUGCUGACUACGUAGAUUAAGUGUAGUCAGUGCCAUCUGGGUAGAGCGAUGCUCAACAUGAACAACGUUCGGGGUGUCUUUCAGAGCAGGUGU